CUACGGGCGGCAGCAGUGGGGAAUAUUGGACAAUGGGGGAACCCUGAUGCAGCAACGCCGCGUGGAGGAUGACGCAUUUCGGUGUGUAAACUCCUUUUAUAUGUCAAGAAAAUGACGGUAGCAUAUGAAUAAGCGCCGGCUAACUCCGUGCCAGCAGCCGCGGUAAUACGGAGGGCGCAAGCGUUACUCGGAAUCACUGGGCGUAAAGGACGCGUAGGCGGGUUGAAAAGUCAGGUGUGAAAGCCUACAGCUUAACUGUAGAACUGCACUUGAAACUCUCAACCUAGAGUAUGGGAGGGGCAGAUGGAAUUAGUGGUGUAGGGGUAAAAUCCGUAGAUAUCACUAGGAAUACCUAAAGCGAAGGCGAUCUCCUGGAACAUUACUGACGCUAAGGCGUGAAAGCGUGGGGAGCAAACAGGAUUAGAUACCCCCGUAGUC
Molecule: ribosomal RNA, 438 nt
Filed under: uncultured bacterium
Lineage: Bacteria
Description: partial 16S ribosomal RNA
Rfam family: Bacterial small subunit ribosomal RNA
Source: RNAcentral